Molecule: long non-coding RNA, 392 nt
Filed under: Hordeum vulgare
Lineage: Eukaryota; Viridiplantae; Streptophyta; Magnoliopsida; Poales; Poaceae
Description: long non-coding RNA (HVUL_LNC014342)
Source: RNAcentral
UGGACCUGGAGCAAGAGGAGAAAGUUCUUUAGCCAUUUUCCUCCCGUUUGCGGUUAACAAGAAGAUGCGAUCGCGCAUCGCCGGCAUGCUGUUUGACUGAAUGUCGUAAUGUACUUCUGCCAAAAAUGAUAUGUUCUNNNNNNNNNNCCCUUCCGUUUGCGGUUAACAAGAAGAUGCGAUCGGGCAUCGUCGACAUGUUGUUUGACUGAAUGUCGUAAUGUACUUCUGCCAAAAAUGAUAUGUUCUUUUCCUGUUGUUCACAAUAUUCACAAAGACUGUUUUUCUCCAUUUUGCAACCUGUUUAGAACAGCUAGAGAAAACAAUCUAGCUAUAUAUAUGUAAGUCGCCUGAUUUCUAAAUGUGGGUAAGUCAAUUUUGAUCGUUGAUUUCUC